UACGUAGGGAGCAAGCGUUGUCCGGAAUCAUUGGGCGUAAAGCGCGCGUAGGCGGCCCUGUAAGUCCGUUGUGAAAGUCAAAGGCUCAACCUUUGAAAGCCGAUGGAUACUGCAGGGCUAGAGUCCGGAAGAGGCGAGUGGAAUUCCUGGUGUAGCGGUGAAAUGCGCAGAUAUCGGGAGGAACACCAGUAGCGAAGGCAGCUCGCUGGGACGGUACUGACGCUAAGGCGCGAAAGCGUGGGGAGCAAACAGG
This 253-nucleotide ribosomal RNA is filed under the name uncultured bacterium. RNAcentral describes it as "partial 16S ribosomal RNA". It matches the Rfam family "Bacterial small subunit ribosomal RNA", at positions 524 to 776 of the family's 1533-position model. The record is from RNAcentral.